CACGCAGGCUGAAUUAUAAGUCGGUAGUAAAAGGCGGAGGCUCAACUUCCGUAUAUCUAUCGAUACUGUAAAUCUAGAGUAUGUGAGAGGGAAGCGGAAUUCCCGGUGUAGCGAUGAAAUGCGUAGAUAUCGGGAGGAACACCAGUGGCGAAGGCGGCUUCCUGGCACAAUACUGACGCUCAUGUGCGAAAGCCAGGGCAGCGAACG
This 207-nucleotide ribosomal RNA is filed under the name uncultured Synergistaceae bacterium. RNAcentral's name for it is "partial 16S ribosomal RNA". It matches the Rfam family "Bacterial small subunit ribosomal RNA", at positions 568 to 774 of the family's 1533-position model. Lineage: Bacteria; Thermotogati; Synergistota; Synergistia; Synergistales; Synergistaceae. The record is from RNAcentral.